Toxocara canis (dog roundworm) is the source of this 61-nucleotide transfer RNA. It matches the Rfam family "tRNA", at positions 6 to 65 of the family's 71-position model. From Rfam's summary of the family: Transfer RNA (tRNA) molecules are approximately 80 nucleotides in length. Their secondary structure includes four short double-helical elements and three loops (D, anti-codon, and T loops). NCBI's taxonomy places the organism in Eukaryota, Metazoa, Nematoda, Chromadorea, Rhabditida, Toxocaridae. The record is from Rfam.
AGUAGCUCAGUGGUAGAGCUUCCGUUUCAUAUACCGGAAAAGCUGGAUUCGAUUCCCGGCU